Molecule: long non-coding RNA, 983 nt
Filed under: Equus asinus (donkey)
Lineage: Eukaryota; Metazoa; Chordata; Mammalia; Perissodactyla; Equidae
Description: lncRNA (ENSEASG00005030041.1)
Source: RNAcentral
GGCCGCCUCUGGUCCCCUCUUCGCAGCCCCACUCUGCUGAGCGCUGGAGAUCCACGCAGUGGGUUGGCCCUCCCGGCCUUGAGCCAGCCCUGACCCAGGCAGCACGCUGCUAGGGGAAACCAGCUGCCAUGUCAUGAAGAGAGGCCCACUGGUGAAGAACUGAGCCUCCAGCCAAGAGCCAUGUGAGGGCGCCAUCUUCGAACUGGAUCUUCCAGCCCCAGCCAACCUCUCGGCCACAAAUUCAUGAGACAGCCUGAACGAGAACCACCUAGGCAAGCUGCUCCCGAAGUCCUGACCCAUGGAAACUCUAUUACCAAGCUGCCUUCAACUGAGGAUGUAUCAGUUUAGAUCCUGCCAGAAUUUAUUUCCACACGUGCUCUGAAAUGUGCCAACAUGGACACGAACCUCACUGCAGUGUUAUUCCUAAGAGUCCCAGACUGCAAGCAAGCCAAGUGACCCUCCAUAGCAGAGAGGAUAAACAACUGAUGGUCUCAUCAUCCCACGGAAUAAUAUAAAGCCAUGAAAAAGAACAGAGUUUGGCCACCCACGCAUGGAGGAAUCUCACAGGCAUGUCGUGAGUGAAAGAAGCCAGACUUGCAACAGUACUUACUGUGGGAUUCCAGGGAGAUGAAUCAAUCACGAAGUUAAGAGGAAGAAACAAUCUAUGAUGAUAGAGAUUAAAACAGCAGUUGGCCUCGGAUGGUGGGGGUAUUGACCAGAUGGGCACGAGAGAGUCCCCUGAGGUGCUCGGAAUGUCCUAUACCUCGAUCUGGGGGAUAGUUACAUGGGCCUAUAAAUAUGUAAAAACUCGUCAAGUUAUGUGUGCUUCACUGAUGUAAGCUCUGAUAAAAAGUAAAAAGGCUAAAAAAAAAAAAAGCCAACCCUGACAUGCAAACAACAUGGCCUCGGCAGCAGGCCGUCUCCUUAGCUACGAAGGGUCACACAGACUCCCUGUCUCUCUCGUCCAGUCUUGAACCAGCUGU